AGGUGUCUUCCUCUACUCGGAUCUGGCUGUCGAUUUUUUUCUACACUUUUAGGUGUAUUUUGUGCAAGAAAUUGCAAUAAAAUAGUCCGCCUAAGAAAAAUUGAAUUUUUUUGGGAACUUUUUUAUUUUUUUGGAUUUAUGGGUUGGAUGACUUUUUGGUGGUAAUAGGUGUCUUCCUCUACUCGGAUUUGGCUGUCGAUUUUUUUCUACACUUUUAGGUGUAUUUUGUGCAAGAAAUUGCAAUAAAAUAGUCCGCCUAAAAAAAAUUGAAUUUUUUUGGGAACUUUUUUAUUUUUUUGGAUUUAUGGGUUGGAUGACUUUUUGGUGGUAAUAGGUGUCUUCCUCUACUCGGAUUUGGCUGUCGAUUUUUUUCUACACUUUUAGGUGUAUUUUGUGCAAGAAAUUGCAAUAAAAUAGUCCGCCUAAGAAAAAUUGAAUUUUUUUGGGAACUUUUUUAUUUUUUUGGAUUUAUGGGUUGGAUGACUUUUUGGUGGUAAUAGGUGUCUUCCUCUACUCGGAUUUGGCUGUCGAUUUUUUUCUACACUUUUAGGUGUAUUUUGUGCAAGAAAUUGCAAUAAAAUAGUCCGCCUAAGAAAAAUUGAAUUUUUUUGGGAACUUUUUUAUUUUUUUGGAUUUAUGGGUUGGAUGACUUUUUGGUGGUAAUAGGUGUCUUCCUCUACUCGGAUUUGGCUGUCGAUUUUUUUCUACACAUUUAGGUGUAUUUUGUGCAAGAAAUUGCAAUAAAAUAGUCCGCCUAAGAAAAAUUGAAUUUUUUUGGGAACUUUUUUAUUUUUUUGGAUUUAUGGGUUGGAUGACUUUUUGGUGGUAAUAGGUGUCUUCCUCUACUCGGAUUUGGCUGUCGAUUUUUUUCUACACUUUUAGGUGUAUUUUGUGCAAGAAAUUGCAAUAAAAUAGUCCGCCUAAGAAAAAUUGAAUUUUUUUGGGAACUUUUUUAUUUUUUUGGAUUUAUGGGUUGGAUGACUUUUUGGUGGUAAUAGGUGUCUUCCUCUACUCGGAUUUGGCUGUCGAUUUUUUUCUACACUUUUAGGUGUAUUUUG
Leptopilina boulardi is the source of this 1058-nucleotide long non-coding RNA. RefSeq lists it as uncharacterized. The transcript is spliced from 4 exons. Lineage: Eukaryota; Metazoa; Arthropoda; Insecta; Hymenoptera; Figitidae. The record is from RefSeq and is a predicted model, not a curated record.